CGUCACCGUUCUAGCGCUGCGGAGGCUGAACGUCGAAACCGAAACCCCCUUUGCGAGAUUCGCUGCAUCUAUACCUAAUUUGCGUUCAAAAAUGCCUGCUUAAUUAUUUCAUAGUAGGAGCAAACAUGCCUUAAGAAAAGGAGUAGGUUUGAAACUUUAGUAACCAUAAAAAGUACGCCAGGUGGAUGCCUUUCUACUCCAGGAAGCCGCAGCCUACGGCCUGAAGGAGGAAGAGGACGCGGUCAGUUUGAAAUAGCUGUUGUGAUAGAGCUGGACCUGUAGACAAGGGAACUAACACAUUUGAGGAAAAAAGAAUCCAAAAUAAGAGAUUGGUGUGUGUGGUGAGGGUAAAGAAGUCCACAUGCAGCAGCAUCUUGGAAAUGCUGUAAUGCAGGGGUGCCCAAACUCAGUUCUGGACAGCUGGUGUCCUGCAGAGUUUAGAGUCAACUUCAACUAAACUCUGCAAGAC
Molecule: non-coding RNA, 469 nt
Organism: Danio rerio (zebrafish)
Lineage: Eukaryota; Metazoa; Chordata; Actinopteri; Cypriniformes; Danionidae
Source: RefSeq, a predicted model, not a curated record